CGGAGGUAUUCGGGAGACAGGUGGUGCAUGGUUGUCGUCAGCUCGUGUCGUGAGAUGUUGGGUUAAGUCCCGUAACGAGCGCAACCCUUGUCCUUAGUUACCAGCACGUUAUGUGGGCACUCUAAGGAGACUGCCGGUGACAAACCGGAGGAAGGUGGGGAUGACGUCAAGUCAUCAUGGCCCUUACGGCCUGGGCUACACACGUGCUACAAUGGUCGGUACAAAGGGUUGCCAAGCCGCGAGGUGGAGCUAAUCCCAUAAAACCGAUCGUAGUCCGGAUCGCAGUCUGCAACUCGACUGCGUGAAGUCGGAAUCGCUAGUAAUCGUGAAUCAGAAUGUCACGGUGAAUACGUUCCCGGGCCUU
RNAcentral lists this ribosomal RNA (364 nucleotides) under uncultured Pseudomonas sp. RNAcentral describes it as "bacterial SSU rRNA". It matches the Rfam family "Bacterial small subunit ribosomal RNA", at positions 1018 to 1382 of the family's 1533-position model. Lineage: Bacteria; Pseudomonadati; Pseudomonadota; Gammaproteobacteria; Pseudomonadales; Pseudomonadaceae. The record is from RNAcentral.